RNAcentral lists this ribosomal RNA (372 nucleotides) under uncultured bacterium. RNAcentral's name for it is "bacterial SSU rRNA". It matches the Rfam family "Bacterial small subunit ribosomal RNA", at positions 524 to 898 of the family's 1533-position model. The record is from RNAcentral.
UACGGAGGGUGCAAGCGUUAUCCGGAUUCACUGGGUUUAAAGGGUGUGUAGGCGGGCUGUUAAGUCAGUGGUGAAAUCUCCAGGCUCAACCUGGAAACUGCCAUUGAUACUAUCAGUCUUGAAUUUUGUUGAGGUAGGCGGAAUAUAUCAUGUAGCGGUGAAAUGCUUAGAUAUGAUAUAGAACACUGAUUGCGAAGGCAGCUUACUAAGCAAAUAUUGACGCUGAGGCACGAAAGCGUGGGGAUCAAACAGGAUUAGAUACCCUGGUAGUCCACGCCCUAAACGAUGAUUACUCGACAUACGCGAUACACAGUGUGUGUCUGAGCGAAAGCAUUAAGUAAUCCACCUGGGAAGUACGUCCGCAAGGAUGAA